RNAcentral lists this long non-coding RNA (8106 nucleotides) under Zea mays. RNAcentral describes it as "long non-coding RNA (ZMAY_LNC000317)". Lineage: Eukaryota; Viridiplantae; Streptophyta; Magnoliopsida; Poales; Poaceae. The record is from RNAcentral.
CCUGCCCGCAGACAUAUCCCCUCACGCGACCUGAGACGUGGUCUCCCAUUCCGGUUAUGGUGGGUACAAGUGCGGUCACUGCACGACGAUAGUCGGGGUCAGUGAGGCAUUGUACGCCAAGGCGGUGAGCCCUGAUCUGUUGCCAGGGAAUCGACGGGGACGGUUGAUGUGUGUGGGGACGGAGUGCCUCGCCACGUCGUGUGUUUAGGUUUACCUUGCAAGGAUAAAAACUCGAUUCGAAUCGUCUGCUUCUCGCAGCUAAUGAGACUGCUUGAUCCAUUGUACUGCAUUGAGUAAUAAGUGGAAAUGAGGUGACUGGCAAAAGAUGUUGAUUGAUAAAAUGUUUGAUACCAUGUAUGACUAGCUAGGUACACAUCUAGUUUAAAAAGGGUCUUACUAAAACUUGAAAAGCUAAAACUUGAUUUUAGACUCAGCUAGUGCUUUUGGCAAACCAAACCACUCAGCCAAAUAGCUGCAUGUCUAGAGAUAGAGGAGUAGACUCCUCACACCAGGUAAGUCUAGCUGAGUAUUAGUAUACUCAGCCUUGCUUGUGGCAUAAUUUUUGUAGGUACUCCUUAGGAUGAUUGGUUGAUGGUGUGACUUGGCAUCCAUCCCUGCCACCGGGAUAGACGAUCAAGUGGGUUAUUGCUUCCGCAGGAGAGGACCAGGAGGGGUAGCGUGGCCCGGCUUCGCCAUGUUACUCGGUUUUCUCCGUUAGUUAUUUUCCGCUGCAUUAAAAUUUAUGAUUAUUAUUUCUUAAACUCCAAUAAUGUAAUCACUAAUGAUACUUAUUAAGUUUGUGGUGUUAUGUUUUAUUGUAUUUCUCUGUGCCUCACCUUCAUGUGAGCUAGUGGUAUUCGAUCCUGGUAAGUGGCUUUAUCGGACUAGAUCCGAGGGACUGACGGGUUAUUCCUGUUUAAGUGUGUUGCUGCCCUUAAGGGUGCGACUUGGGCACUUAAGCUGGAAUAAUUCGGGCGGUUCCGCCACAGCUGGUAUCGGAGCAAAUACCAGUAUAGAGAAGUCAAUAAGUCAUGAUUUCCAAUCUUUUCUAAUGUAAAACUUGCUUAGAAACCAAAGUUGGAUAGAUAUCAGGACGAUAAGUUAGACCUAGGACGUGAAGCCCUAGGAAUAGAUGGGUAGCUAGGUGGCUAGUUAUUUAGGCCAUAAAGGCUACUACUACUAUUAAUAAGGAUGUUGUAGAAGCACCCAAAAAUUAGUUAGGUCUGAGAAGACGACUAGAAUGAGCAUGCAUCAUGAUUGUCGCAUUAUAAUUUUCUCUUGUGCAUCAAUAUGCUUCUCUCACCUUUAUUCCAAUAAUAAGAACUUGUGAAUAAUGUGAUGUACUGCUAUGUUAGAAAUGCCUUACCUCAUGUCAGAUUGGUAAGUCUUGUUAGGUUGUGUUAUGUGUUUCUCUUGCCUUGCUAUCUAGGUGGUAUUGAAAUUGUUCAACCCUUUUUGCAAAAAAAAUGUUGUUUGUUUCCUCAUAAAAAGACCCCACCCAAACAACCUUGAGUUUAGCAAGUGAAACCUCUUUAAAAAAAAUCCUGCUUGUGUUGGUAUUUUCUAGCCCUUGAGUUUUACCCUUAACGUUGCACCUGCACAACUUGUAAACUCCCAUAACUUGACCGCUAGACCAACCCAAGUCUCCUUGUGCACUUGUUGUGUCAAUUUUUUUUGUUGUUGGUGUCUAGUUGCGCAAACCCUAUCAAGGUCAUGUUUCUUUCCAUAAAUCCUUGCCCCUAAAACUUCAUAGCAUUUCUGUUGAUCAUCCUAGCUGAUCCUGUUUGCCUACCUCUCCUUUGGCCUGGAUCUGGUAAUCCUUUUUCUUGUGAAUCAUGUUGGCUUUAUCAUCCGAAUCUCGGGAUCCCCUAUGAUUCUGCCCUAUUAUCUGGUUAUCCGCUAUAACCCAUUCUCAAGUAUCGGAUGUCGAUCAAUCUAAUCUCUCAUUUCUAGUCUUUCCGAUGUUCUUUCUCUAGGCAUCAUGACGUUGUUUUUGCCAACCUUAUCUUUAAAUGGCAUAUCCAUGUGGAUUAAUGGAUUUCGUUGUUGUCCUUGGUUCUCUCAUGUCUCUAAAAGCUCAACAAUCUAUUUUGAUCUCAUGGUCGGUUCAUCCUCAUAUCAAAUCUCGUGCUAAUAUCUGAUCUGAUAAUCUCCAUGUUGAUCAUAAAAUGGUUCUCUGAGUUGAAGAAAAUUCUCACGUGAUGCUCUUUUUGCCAGCAAUCUCUGCUUCAACUCCGAUCACAUUCUUAUUUUCUGAGCCAUACUCUCAUGGGCUCCAUCUAUCUGUGCUAUGUGGAUUUCUCAUUGGUUGCAUUUGGUAAUGGUGUCAUGACUAACGACCGAUGGUGCCGCGACAAAACCGAGAGCCUCCUGUGGGCGUGCACACACGGUUGAGCUACUCGGCACGCGCUGGUACCGCGGUUAAUAGUCGUGAUCCAUUAUGGGACUAUACCGAUGUCCUCUCUUUUGUGAACAUCCUCUCAAAGUGAUCGCUGCAUUUUGUCUCAACAUGCCGCGAUAUUCUAUCCAAAUCUAUCUUCCGUAUCUUGUCAGAUCCCCUCUCCUGAAUUUGCAUCUAUCUCCAGCCUGGGAGUUACAUGCUUCUCCACCCUUAAAGAUCCUCAUUCGAAUCUCGGGACGAGAUUCUUUUUAAGGGGGGGAAGGCUGUGACACCCCAGGUGUCAGUUUCGUGUUACGCCGAGAGAUUUAUCCUAAUCUCAGAUGCUCAGUAAAAAAAAUUCUAUUUCUCGAUCAUGUCUAUCUCUGUUUAUCAGGCUUUCUCAUGGAAGUUCACCGAAUUCAGAGUUAUUCGAUCGCAAGAAACAACCAAAUUUGGAGCCUGUUAAAACUUUUAUUUCUCGGAACGAAUGCAAACUCAAAAAUCAUUCUCGAAAUUUAAAUCUCAUCUGAAGCUCAUUUAAUCAAACUCUCGACGACUGUUAUUUGAUCUGAGCCCGAGUCUAAUCCCUCGAACCUCGAUCAAUGUCCGACUAUUUUAAUCUGAGUCCGUACUCUCAAACAGAAUACUCAAUAUGUCGUCCUCUAAUCAAUUUUAUCUGACUCGGCUAAAUAUCUCAUGUCCGAACCGAACUCAAAACCCCGUAUCGACAGCAAUUUUAAAAUAUCACGAUUCGCCUUCUCCGACUAAAAAUCCAAAGCCGAUCAAAUCUCAGGAUGAUUUAUUUUCGAAUCACGCGUAGGGGAUUAUUUUCGAGCGAAAUCAAAUUAGACUCUCGGCUGAGUUAAUCGCUCAAUCGUCCGUUUGUCCGAACUAUAUUUCGCUCUGUUCUCUGUUGAGACGAAUUCCGCAGGAGCAUUUUUAUUCCGGAAAAUAUUUAGCGUAGCCCGAUUUCAUGUUUUGGGCCAAGCCCAACCCAACCCAUUAGGCCCACUAAAGAACCCUAACCCUAGCCAUUUUCUAUAAAUAGAGGUGUUCUCCCCCUUGCACUUGGCAAUUUUUCACUCCCACUCCUCUAUUCUUCCUAGCCGCCACCAGCAACUUCUUCUUCUCCUCGCUGUUUCUGGUGCGUACGCAGAGCUUCUUCCAUGGCUGGCCUCGCUUCCUCCCCACGGCAACAGCUCCCCAACCUUCCAUGGGCGUGCACCCCUCCUCCCCCUUCUUCUUCCUCAAGACAGCAUCCUCCUCCCUCCUUUCCCCCUAGUGCAGCAGCAAGGAACCCUUGCUCGGCCAGCAGCCACGGUGGCCAAGUCCCUGCGCCCUCCUCUGCCCAGUGCCCCUUCUCCAUGGCGUUCAGAGCAGGGAGCCUUUCUCCCCUGCGCGCAAGAGCUCCCUGGGCCAACCUCGGCGAGGUCCAUGUCCAUGGCGCGACGCAGCAGCUCCAUUUCUCCAGCAGCCAUGGCACCCUGUUCGCAUGCACGACCGAGUUUCAUUCCUCCACGACGCCCAGAAAUUCCUUGCAGCGGCUCCCUCCCUGGGACAGUGCCCCUGUUACCAUCUCCCGGCAGCGCAGCUCCUCGCAACCUAGUUUUCCCCGUAGCCCCACAACAGCGACGCGCCGUAGGUGUUCGACAAAAUGUGCAGCAAGCCACGCGCUGCAGCAGCCCUCCCGUUCGUUCUCCACUUCCCUCGUCGCAUGUCGUCGCUCUCAUGCUCGCUGCGCAGCCCCAUCUGCGACGCCGUCGAAACCCGUGGUGAGAAAACCCCAACUGCCCUUGCUGCUAUUUUUUUUUGUGUGCUCGGUAAAAAUGUUGAACUACUGUAUGUGUCUAAUCGCAGCUAGUGGUCAAUGUCGCGCUUCGUGCUUUGCCCGUUCAACGAAACGCCGAGCCGUGUGGACAACCCAUGUGACUAGUCUCGGUUCGUCCAGGUUGUUCACUUGGUAUUUUGUGGAUUAAUCUAUUUAAGCUUUGGUCGAUGUUGUGCAUGUGCGUAUAUGUGUAAGAAAAUGUAUUGGUAUGGAUUGAAGUUUGUGGCGAGGGAAAAAGAAGUAGAAAAGAACUCGAAUAUUUUUAUAUUUCGAUAGGAAUAUGUGCGAUGUGUUGUUUGAUGUGUGCGAUUUGUAGUGGUACAAUUAUAUUUUAGUCGAUGUGAUGUACAUUGGUGUUGGAAGGUGUGUGGGUAUAAAAUGUUUUGGUCAUAUGUCGUAGCAAGGUUGCCUUCACGUUUUGGUAAGCAAACAUGUUGUGUUGUUUAAUGUGAUGAGUAAAUUGGAAAUACAGGGGAUGCGAGGAUUUAAUUAGUGCACGUAGGUGUGUGUGUCGUGGUGUGAUAUAGUAGUGGUGGCAUGAGAUAUUUAUUUGAGGUGCGCGGGUAUAUGCCGUAAUAUGGUUAUACUCGCGGCGAGGAAAGAUGUAUGUAUUGUGUAACACAACGUUUAGGUUGCUAUUAUAUAAUCGUGUGAAGGAUGCUCAUGAUGGUUGUGUGAUCGAGGAGUGAUGUAGUGGCAAGCGAGAAGUAAGUUUAAUUUUUCAACGGUUAGUGGAUAGUAUCUGUCGGUGUUGUCAUGAUUUUUGUUGUAUGACAGAUCGAUGCUUAGCUUUAUAAAUUAUUGCAUUCCAUUCCCUUUGGAUAAAUAAAUGUCUUGUUGAUCGAUUAGAGGUCUUAUAUGAGCGUUAUCGCAAACCAAUAAUUAUUGGAGACGAGUAGCGUUCAUGAGUCAAUCCUUGCUAAAAUUGAAGAACAGUCCGAUAACAUAUGCACAUGGGUGUUGUAGGUCCUUCAGUAGCCAGUGUAAGUCUUACGGAGUUUUAGGCCAGGUGUUAAUGCCUCUAUGUUAGACCCCCUAAAAUAUGGUGUUUUAAGUGACUUGUGUGUUGUCCAGUUUAAGUUAAGAAAAGGUUAAGAAACAUUAAGUAACCAGUUCCCACCCAUGUUUUGAGUUGCGAUGUCUAAAAUGGUUCGGUAAGUCUUUUACUAUGAUUAGCAAGCUCAUGUUAAAUAGGAAUCGAUUUCGUUAAGUGUUCGUUAUAUAUGUGUUGUCCCGGAUUACGAUAAUAAGAGGCAAGCCGACGUGUAGGAUGUAUAGCGAUUUAUGUUGUUGCGCUAGUGAUUUACUUGUUGUAGUCUAAAUGUGCAUGGUUAUGAUCGCGGGUAAAAAUCUGUAGUGCUCAUGUGGUGUCUAAACUAAAAUGCGAACUAGUGGGUGAAAAGCGCUUUGAUAUACAUGUAUGCCGAAAUUGAUGAUUGUGGUGAAUGCGUUGAUUAAAUGUGUAUGUUAGUUCUAGCGCGCGAAAUAACUUGGAUGAAAAUUAGUGAGUCUACUUGUUAGUCCUCAUUUGAUUAAUUUAACUCUAACAAAUGGUAAAAUGUUAGAAUAAUUCAAGUCUCUAAAAACAUGGCGAUUCUUGAAUUAUAUGUGAGCUGAAAUUUAUUGAUUGCUGUUUUGGGCUGCACGCACUGUUUUAGUUGUGCUGUUUGUUUGAUGAACCAAAUCAUGUUUUCUGUAGAAAUGUCAUAUAGAAGAGUUGUAGAUAACAUUAUUAUCUUGCUUGUACUAAAAUUUGAUAGGCUAAAGUCUGAUCGUUUGGGAGUUAUGAUUUUUACAAAUUCAGUAACUGAAUCUGUCCAAAUUCUGUACAGAUUUCAGAAACUGCAUUGUUUGCUCAAUUUAAUUUUGCAAUAAGUUCAUUGUCGUUAUAAGAAAGUUGUAGAUGUUUUUGCUAUCUUGCUUGUGUUAAAAUUUCAUAACCAUAGGCCUUACAGUAUAGGAGUUAUGAAUUUUACAAACUGCUUGUUGUGUUCUGUCCACCGUCAGAACAGAUUUCGAAAACUGUGUUGUUCGAUUUAGUUAAACAUUGAAUCACUUCUUGGUGAUUAUAAAAGUUAUGUAGUGCUUUUGCUGAGCUUUCCCAAAAGUCCUAGAUCACUCUUUUUUGUGGCCUGAAGCUUAAGUUAUGAAUGUUUCAAAUAUGAAGACUGAAUCUGUCCAGUUCUGGACAGCAACGCCUUCUAGUGUCUUUUAUCCUUAAUUGCAUAUUGAAUCACCUUGAGAUGUUUAUAAAUAAUUUGUAGAACACUGAAUUAGCUUUCCAGAAAGUCUAGGAUCACCUUGUUUGGAUGUCUGAAUCUUUAGUUGUGAAUUUUUGAAGUUGCAAGUCUGAAUCGGUCUAAAUCUGGACAGAGCUGUUGUGUUGGCACUUUUUGACCUUGCUAAGUGUUGAAUUAUGCCGAAGUAAAAAUACCAAAGUUGUAGAGCCCUUUGUAAGCUUUCUAGAAAGUCCAAAUUUGCUAUUUUCGGGUUAAUAUUUGAAAAGUUAUGAUUAAAACAAGUAGCUGCUGUGUUGCUGUCCCGAAAAUCUGCAAAUGCGCUUUUGAUUGUUUAGUUCACCCUUCUCGCUAAAAAUAUUUGGUUUGCUCUUAAGUAAUAUAGACUUGCCAUGGCUAAGCUAGAGAUGACAUGUGUGUCUUGUUUUAUAUGUUUCUUUAUCUAGUGGUGCGAUAUAGGAGUUCCUUAGACAUUGACGCUUAUGUCCUCUAUUGAAUUUGUGUUGUCGAUGAUGCUUGUGCGCGAGCAAUAGGAGAACUAAUAAAAAGCCGUAUCCAAACAAAUAAAAUGUGCAUACCUGUAAUGUCAUAGUUGUGUUGCGUAAAUAAAUAAAAUGUUGUUGUCUUUUUAAAGGUAUUAAUAUUGGACGUCGAUAACGUGUAGAUAACUAAUGCUAGCGUAUGGUUGUUUACGGUGUCUUCUCAUUUAAAUAUUUAGUUCGUCACUGAGUCUUUGUAUAUCUGUGCUAUUUUUGUGCUCCUUUCAUUAUAUUCAUACAUAUGCAUCUUGCAUCUCAUUUAGGACCGAGAGAUGACGCUCAUGCAAGUGGUGUGGUGCCAACCACAAGAUGCCGUGGUGGAUGACCUGAAGAAUGAUGGACAUGACCCGUGGAUGCUCGCCAAGCGAGUACCCUCCCCCAGCAAACACUGUCUACGUGUUAAAUUAAAGGCAAGCCUCGGUUUUAUGCAUAACCUGUUCUAUAUGAUAUUUUACUACACUUAAUGUUUGUAGGCUUGUAUUGUGCACUUAAGUGUAGGAGUUGAUUGAAACCCUAGUUGCAUGAACUCAGGAAUCCUUGUUGAGAUGGAUACUAGUAUGCUAGGUCGAGUAGCUGCUUUGCUAAUUAGGGAUCUCGGUAGAAGUCGAGUGAUUUUUCUAGCACUCGCGCGAGGUCAGGAAAUUGGUUGUACCCACUUUCAUAUCAUAUUGAUGAUUGGUCUGUGGACACGGAUCCAUGGGGAUGCGUGGUCUACGAGAUGAAAUUGGAAUAAGGAUUAACGUGCGGAUACCUGUGUCAAGCGUUUGAAUGUACUAAACAUAUGCCGAGAAAUAUGGUAAAUCGAUAAGCCUAGUACCUAAUUGAACCUGCCCGCAGACAUAUCCCCUCACGCGACCUGAGACGUGGUCUCCCAUUCCGGUUAUGGUGGGUACAAGUGCGGUCACUGCACGACGGCAGUCGGGGUCAGUGAGGCAUUGUACGCCAAGGCGGUGAGCCCUGAUCUGUUGCCAGGGAAUCGACGGGGACGGUUGAUGUGUGUGGGGACGGAGUGCCUUGCCACGUCGUGUGUUUAGGUUUACCUUGCAAGGAUAAAAACUCGAUUCGAAUCGUCUGCUUCUCGCAGCUAAUGAGACUGCUUGAUCCAUUGUACUGCAUUGAGUA